UGUGGGACUGCAAAUGGGAG
Molecule: microRNA, 20 nt
Filed under: Homo sapiens (human)
Lineage: Eukaryota; Metazoa; Chordata; Mammalia; Primates; Hominidae
Description: hsa-miR-4648
Source: miRBase by way of RNAcentral